UCCCAAAUAGUCUAGGCGGUUAGGAUACGUGGCUUUCACCCACGCGACCCGGGUUCGAGUCCCCGUUUGGGAA
RNAcentral lists this transfer RNA (73 nucleotides) under Phytophthora capsici. Its description in RNAcentral is "tRNA-Glu". It matches the Rfam family "tRNA". From Rfam's summary of the family: Transfer RNA (tRNA) molecules are approximately 80 nucleotides in length. Their secondary structure includes four short double-helical elements and three loops (D, anti-codon, and T loops). Further hydrogen bonds mediate the characteristic L-shaped molecular structure. tRNAs have two regions of fundamental functional importance: the anti-codon, which is responsible for specific mRNA codon recognition, and the 3' end, to which the tRNAs corresponding amino acid is attached (by aminoacyl-tRNA synthetases). tRNAs cope with the degeneracy of the genetic code in two manners: having more than one tRNA (with a specific anti-codon) for a particular amino acid; and 'wobble' base-pairing, i.e. permitting non-standard base-pairing at the 3rd anti-codon position. RNAcentral also lists the same sequence under 1 other name. Lineage: Eukaryota; Oomycota; Peronosporomycetes; Peronosporales; Peronosporaceae. The record is from RNAcentral.